This is a long non-coding RNA of Antechinus flavipes (yellow-footed antechinus), 4910 nucleotides long. RefSeq lists it as uncharacterized. The record is from RefSeq and is a predicted model, not a curated record. The transcript is spliced from 12 exons. Lineage: Eukaryota; Metazoa; Chordata; Mammalia; Dasyuromorphia; Dasyuridae.
GGUGUUAGAUCCAUACACAGAGAAGGAUGUUAGAUAGAUCAAUGCACAGAGAAGGCUGUUAGAUAGAUCUGUGCACAGAGAAGGCUGUUAGAUCUGUGCACAGAGAAGGGAGUUAGGUAGAUCUAUACACAGAGAAAGGUGUUAGAUCUAUGCACAGAGAAGGGAGUUAGGUAGAUCUAUGUAUGGAGAAGGGUGUUAGAUCUGUGCACAGAGAAGGGUGUUGGAUAGAUCUAUGCACGAAGAAGGGUGUUAGGUAAAUCUAUGUACGGAGAAGGGUGUUAGAUCUAUGCACAGAGAAGGGAGUUAGGUAGAUCUAUGUAUGGAGAAGGGUGUUAGAUCUGUGCACAGAGAAGGGUGUUGGAUAGAUCUAUGCACGGAGAAGGGUGUUAGGUAGAUCUAUGUAUGGAGAAGGGUGUUAGAUCUGUGCACAGAGAAGGGUGUUGGAUAGAUCUAUGCACGGAGAAGGGUGUUAGGUAAAUCUAUGUCCGGAGAAGGGUAUUAGAUCUAUGCACAGAGAAGGGUGUUAGAUCUAUAUACAGAGAAGGUUGUUAGGUAGGUCUGUUCACAGAGAAGGCUGUUAGAUCUAUGUUCAGAGAAGGGAGUUAGGUAGAUCUAUGUACGGAGAAGGGUGUUUGAUAGAUCUAGGUACAGAGAAAGGUGUUAAAUAGAUCUAAGCAAAGAGAUGGGUAUUAGACAGAUCUAUGCACAGAGAAGGCUGUUAGAUAGAUCUAUGUACAGGAAGGGUGUUAGAUAGAUCUAUGCACAGAGAAGGGUGUUAGAUAGAUCUCUGCACAGAGAAGGGUGUUAGAUCUAUGCACAGAGAAGGGAGUUAGGUAGAUCUAUGUACGGAGAAGGGUGUUAGAUAGAUCUAAGCAAAGAGAUGGGUAUUAGACAGAUCUAUGCACAGAGAAGGCUGUUAGAUCUGUGCACAGAGAAGGGUGUUAGAUAGAUCUAUGUACAGAGAAGGGUGUUGGGUAGAUCUAUGCACAGAGAAGGGUGUUGGAUAGAUCUAUGCACAUAGAAGGGUGUUAGAUCUGUGCACAGAGAAGGGUGUUAGAUAGAUCUGUGCACAGAGAAGGCUGUUAUAUCUAUGCACAGAGAAGGGUGUUAGAUAGAUCUAGGUACAGAGAAAGGUGUUAAAUAGAUCUAAGCAAAGAGAUGGGUAUUAGACAGAUCUAUGCACAGAGAAGGCUGUUAGAUAGAUCUAUGUACAGGAAGGGUGUUAGAUAGAUCUUUGCACAGAGAAGGGAGUUACGUAGAUCUAUGUACGGAGAAGGGUGUUAGAUCUAUGCACAGAGAAUGGUGUUAGAUAGAUCUAUGCACAGGAAGGGUGUUAGAUAGAUCUAUGCACAGGAAGGGUGUUAGAUCUAUGCACAGAGAAGGGAGUUAGGUAGAUCUAUGUAUGGAGAAGGGUGUUAGAUCUGUGCACAGAGAAGGGUGUUGGAUAGAUCUAUGCACGGAGAAGGGUGUUAGGUAGAUCUAUGUACGGAGAAGGGUGUUAGAUAGAUCUGUGCACAGAGAAGGGUAUUAGAUAGAUCGAAGCACAGAGAAUGGUGUUAGAUCUAUGCACAGAGAAGGGUGUUAAGUAGAUCUAUGCACAGGAAGGGUGUUAAGUAGAUCUAUGCACAGAGAAGGGUGUUAAGUAGAUCUAUGCACAGAGAAGGGUAAUAGAUAGAUCUGUGCACAGAGAAGGCUGUUAGAUAGAUCUAUUCACAGAGAAGGGUGUUAGAUCUAUUCACAGAGAAGGGUGUUAGACAGAUAUAUGCAGAAGAAGGGUGUUAGAUAGAUCUAUUCACAGAGAAGGGUGUUAGACAGAUCUAUGCACAGGAAGGGUGUUAAGUAGAUCUAUGUACGGAGAAGGGUGUUAGAUCCAUACACAGAGAAGGCUGUUAGAUAGAUCUGUGCACAGAGAAGGGUAUUAGAUAGAUCGAAGCACAGAGAAUGGUGUUAGAUCUAUGCACAGAGAAGGGUGUUAAGUAGAUCUAUGCACAGGAAGGGUGUUAAGUAGAUCUAUGCACAGAGAAGGGUGUUAAAUAGAUCUGUGCACAGAGAAGGGUAUUAGAUAGAUCGAAGCACAGAGAAUGGUGUUAGAUCUAUGCACAGAGAAGGGUGUUAAGUAGAUCUAUGCACAGGAAGGGUGUUAAGUAGAUCUAUGCACAGAGAAGGGUGUUAAGUAGAUCUAUGCACAGAGAAGGGUAAUAGAUAGAUCUGUGCACAGAGAAGGCUGUUAGAUAGAUCUAUUCACAGAGAAGGGUGUUAGAUCUAUUCACAGAGAAGGGUGUUAGACAGAUAUAUGCAGAAGAAGGGUGUUAGAUAGAUCUAUUCACAGAGAAGGGUGUUAGACAGAUCUAUGCACAGGAAGGGUGUUAAGUAGAUCUAUGCACAGAGAAGGGUGUUAGAUAGAUCUGUGCACAGAGAAGGGUGUUAGAUAGAUCUAUGCACAGAGAAGGCUGUUAGAUCUAUGCACAGAGAAGGGUGUUAGAUAGAUCUAUGCACAGAGAAGGCUGUUAGACAGAUCUAUGCAUAGAGACGGGUGUUAGAUAGAUCUAGGUACAGAGACCGGUGUUAGAUAGAUCUAGGUACAGAGAUGGGUGUUAAGUAGAUCUAUGCACAGAGAAGGGUGUUAGAUCUAUGCACAGAGAAGGGUGUUAGAUAGAUCUAUGCACAGGAAGGCUGUUAGGUCUGUGCACAGAGAAGGGUGUUAGAUAGAUCUGUGCACAGAGAAGGGUGUUUGAUAAGUCUAUAUACAGAGAAGGGUGUUUGAUAGAUCUAUGCACAGAGAAGGGUAAUAGAUAGAUCUAUUCAUAGAGAAGGGUGUUAGAUCUAUUCACAGAGAAGGGUGUUAGAUAGAUCUAUGCACAGGAAGGCUGUUAGAUCUGUGCACAGAGAAGGGAGUUAGGUAGAUCUAUGUACGGAGAAGGGUGUUUGAUAGAUCUGUGCACAGAGAAGGGUGUUUGAUAGAUUUAUAUACAGAGAAGGGUGCUUUAGAUAUGUGCAUAGAUCAGGGUGUCCGCAUCAUCUGUGGGAACUCUUUUUUGAUCCUAAGUGCUAGCCCUUCCUCCAACCCUCCUUUCAAUGUGUUUGUCCCGAGUUGGGGGACUGUAUUUGAGCUUGUUGUCUCCCCCAUUAGUGUGUCAGAUUCUUGCCUUUGGGGAUUGUUUCCUGCCUUGUAGUUGUGUCCCCAGCCUCCAGGAUGGCCUCAUGGCACCUGGAAGCCGCUUGUCCCUUGACUGAAUCGAUUAUGAUGAAAUAGCCCUUCAGGAAUCUCAGUGUGUAAUGAGGUACAAGAAGUUUAACAUUUUUUGGCCCAGAGUUUCAAGGACACAGAAAAGGCUGAACAAUAAAGUUUCCAGCACUCAGUGAUCCAGAAGGUAAAUCUCCCACAUAGUCAAUCUCCCUCUCUCAAUCUCUCUCUCUCUGUCUCUCAAUCUCUCUCCCAGUCUCCCCCCCAUUUAUUCCUUAUUCUCCCCCUUCUCUCUCUAAAUCUCUUUCUCUCUCCCUAAAUCUCUCUCAAUCUCCUAAUCUAUCUCUCUCUCAAUCUCCCCCCAUCUUUCCCUUAUCCUCCCCCAUCUUUCUCUCUCAAUCGCUGUCUGUCAAUCUCUCUCCUACUCUCCCCCUAUCUGUCCCCCCCCCUCAAUUUCUAUGUCUCAAUCUCUUUCCCAAUCUCCUCCUAUCCUCCCCCAUCUCUCUCUCUCUCUCUCUCUCCCUCAAUCUCUCUCUCAAUAUUCCACUCUAUCUCUCUAAAUCUCUCUCAAUUGCUGUCUCUCAAUCUCUAUCCCAAUCUCCCCCCAUCUCUCUCUCUCUCUCUCAAUUUCUGUGUCUCAAUCUCCCCCCAUCUGUCCCCUAUCCUCCCCCAUCUCUGUCUCUCAAUCUCUCUCCCAAUCUCCUCCCCCAUCUCUCUUUCUGUGUCCCUUAAUCUCUCUUUCUCUAAAUCUCUCUCUCUGUCUCCCCAUAUCUUCCCCCAUCUCUCUCAAUCUGUCUCUCAAUCUCUCUCCCAAUCUCCCCCCAUCUGUCCCCUAUCCUCCCCUAUCUCUCUCUCUCCCCCUCAAUCUCUCUCUCAAUAUUCCACUCUAUCUCUCUAAAUCUCUCUCAAUUGCUGUCUCUCAAUCUCUAUCCCAAUCUCCCCCCCCCAUCUCUCUUUCUCUCUCAAUUUCUGUGUCUCAAUCUCUUUCCCAAUCUCCCCUCGAUCUGUCCCCUAUCUUCCCCUCUCUCUCUCCUUCUGUCCCCCAAUCAAUCUAUCUCUCUCACCCCCAUCUUUCUCUCAAUAUUCCACUCUAUCUCUCUAAAUCUCUCUCUCUCAAUCUCUAUCCCAAUCUCCCCCCCCAUCUCUCUCUCUCUCUCAAUUUCUGUGUCUCAAUCUCUCUCCAAUCUCCCAAUCUCUCUCUCUCUCUUACCCCCUCAAUCUCUCUCUCAAUAUUCCACUCUAUCUCUCUAAAUCUCUCUCUCAAUCGCUGUCUCUCUCCUCCCCCCACUCUCUCUCUCUCUCCCUCCCUCUCUCCCCCUCAAUAUUCCACUCUAUUUCUCUAAAUCUCUCUCUCUCUCAAUCUCUAUCCCAAACUCCCCUCCCAUCUCUCUCUCUCUCAAUCUCCUCCCCCAUCUGUCCCCUAGCCUCCCCCAUCUCUCUCUCUCUCUUAAUCUCUCUCUCAAUCUCCCAAUCUAUCUCUCUAAAUCUCUCUCUCUCAAUCUCCCCCCAUCUUUCCUCUAUCCUCCCCCAUCUCUCUCUCUCACUCUCUCUCCCAAUCUCCCCCCAUCUGUCCCCUCUCUCCCCCUCAAUCUCUAUCUCUCUCUCAGUAUUCCACUCUAUCUCUCUAAAGCUGUCUCUCAAUCUCUAUCUCAAUCUUCUCCCCCCCCAAUCUAUCUCUGUAUGUCUUUGUAUGUGAGUGGUGGGAGGUGGGUGGUGGUAGGAGGUG